Molecule: ribosomal RNA, 497 nt
Filed under: uncultured bacterium
Lineage: Bacteria
Description: partial 16S ribosomal RNA
Rfam family: Bacterial small subunit ribosomal RNA
Source: RNAcentral
GAUGAACGCUGGCGGCGUGCCUAAUACAUGCAAGUCGAGCGAACAGACGAGGAGCUUGCUCCUCUGACGUUAGCGGCGGACGGGUGAGUAACACGUGGAUAACCUACCUAUAAGACUGGGAUAACUUCGGGAAACCGGAGCUAAUACCGGAUAAUAUAUUGAACCGCAUGGUUCAAUAGUGAAAGACGGUUUUGCUGUCACUUAUAGAUGGAUCCGCGCCGCAUUAGCUAGUUGGUAAGGUAACGGCUUACCAAGGCGACGAUGCGUAGCCGACCUGAGAGGGUGAUAGGCCACACUGGAACUGAGACACGGACCAGACUCCUACGGGAGGCAGCAGUAGGGAAUCGUCCGCAAUGGGCGAAAGCCUGACGGAGCAACGCCGCGUGAGUGAUGAAGGUCUUCGGAUCGUAAAACUCUGUUAUUAGGGAAGAACAAAUGUGUAAGUAACUAUGCACGUCUUGACGGUACCUAAUCAGAAAGCCACGGCUAACUACGUG